GAGUUUGUCCAUUCAUUCAUCCCUUUAGGCACGUCUUAGUGCAAGAGCCGUUCACUCCUUCGAGGACUAUUUGUUGACCACCUGCCACGUACCAGGCUCUCUCUCGGCCUGGGUACAUUCCAGCGGGGGAGACAGACAGGACGACACACGAAGCCAUAAUACGUAUGAGAGGGGCUCUGGAGCAGAUAAACGGGGACAGGCCCAUCCGACCCCGCGGUUGCGAUGCUUUAGGUAUUUGUUAAUAUACUCUCCAGUGCCCUGUGCAACGCUGGAAAUAUACAGUUCUCAAGAAGCCAAGUCACAAUGGCUAACUAAUCACACUUAGUACUCAACACAUGGGAUUCCAACCGAAAUGAUUUGGAAAGGACCGUAGGUUGUGGGGGAGGAGUCUGAGCCUGAUGUGUGUGUGUACACAGAUCUGGCUCUUAACUGAUUGUAUCUACCAUUUUGCAGUAAUAAAAAUUUAGGUCUUCACAAUAA
This is a long non-coding RNA of Galeopterus variegatus (Sunda flying lemur), 480 nucleotides long. RefSeq lists it as uncharacterized. The record is from RefSeq and is a predicted model, not a curated record. NCBI's taxonomy places the organism in Eukaryota, Metazoa, Chordata, Mammalia, Dermoptera, Cynocephalidae. The transcript has 2 exons.